GUAGGUGGCAAGCGUUGUCCGGAAUUAUUGGGCGUAAAGCGCGAGCAGGCGGUCCUUUAAGUCUGAUGUGAAAGCCCACGGGCUCAACCGUGGAGGGUCAUUGGAAACUGGGGGACUUGAGUACAGAAGAGGAAAGCGGAAUUCCACGUGUAGCGGUGAAAUGCGUAGAGAUGUGGAGGAACACCAGUGGCGAAGGCGGCUUUCUGGUCUGUAACUGACGCUGAGGCGCGAAAGCGUGGGGAGCAAACAGGAUUAGAUACCCUGGUAGUCCACGCCGUAAACGAUGAGUGCUAAGUGUUAGGGGGUUUCCGCCCCUUAGUGCUGCAGCUAACGCAUUAAGCACUCCGCCUGGGGAGUACGGCCGCAAAGGCUG
RNAcentral lists this ribosomal RNA (373 nucleotides) under uncultured organism. RNAcentral's name for it is "partial 16S ribosomal RNA". It matches the Rfam family "Bacterial small subunit ribosomal RNA", at positions 527 to 896 of the family's 1533-position model. The record is from RNAcentral.